RNAcentral lists this ribosomal RNA (254 nucleotides) under uncultured bacterium. Its description in RNAcentral is "partial 16S ribosomal RNA". It matches the Rfam family "Bacterial small subunit ribosomal RNA", at positions 524 to 776 of the family's 1533-position model. The record is from RNAcentral.
UACGUAGGGUGCGAGCGUUAAUCGGAAUUACUGGGCGUAAAGCGUGCGCAGGCGGUCUGUUAAGACCGAUGUGAAAUCCCCGGGCUUAACCUGGGAACUGCAUUGGUGACUGGCAGGCUUUGAGUGUGGCAGAGGGGGGUAGAAUUCCACGUGUAGCAGUGAAAUGCGUAGAGAUGUGGAGGAAUACCGAUGGCGAAGGCAGCCCCCUGGGCCAACACUGACGCUCAUGCACGAAAGCGUGGGUAGCAAACAGG